AUAAAAAUAGAAGAAAAUCUUUUAAAAC
This 28-nucleotide small RNA is filed under the name Arabidopsis thaliana (thale cress). RNAcentral describes it as "ATSL173910". Lineage: Eukaryota; Viridiplantae; Streptophyta; Magnoliopsida; Brassicales; Brassicaceae. The record is from RNAcentral.